UGGCCGCUGGUAAGAUGGAGUUAAGUUUACCAUAGUUCAUUUACACAUACUACUAACAAUCUUAUGAUACAAAGCUGGUUGAAUAUGGGUACACACAAU
Molecule: long non-coding RNA, 99 nt
Organism: Etheostoma cragini (Arkansas darter)
Lineage: Eukaryota; Metazoa; Chordata; Actinopteri; Perciformes; Percidae
Exons: 3
Source: RefSeq, a predicted model, not a curated record